AGGGUGUAAACGCUGCAGACUUGGUGUUGGAAGCCCUUUGGGGGCAUUCAGUGCCGGAGAGAAGUUGUUAAGUCUGCUACUUGGGGAGUACGUCCGCAAGGAUGAAACUUAAAGGAAUUGGCGGGGGAGGCACCGCAACGGGAGGAGCGUGCGGUUUAAUUGGAUUCAACACCGUAAAACUCACCAGGGAAGACUGUUACAUGAAAGCCGAGAUGAAGACUCUGCUAGAUUUUCAGAGAGGAGGUGCAUGGCGUCAGUGACU
RNAcentral lists this ribosomal RNA (262 nucleotides) under uncultured archaeon. Its description in RNAcentral is "partial 16S ribosomal RNA". It matches the Rfam family "Archaeal small subunit ribosomal RNA", at positions 748 to 1008 of the family's 1478-position model. The record is from RNAcentral.